UGGAUCCAGACUUGAUCAUGGCUCAGGAUAAACGCUGGCGGCGCACAUAAGACAUGCAAGUCGAACGGACUUAACUCAUUCUUUUAGUUUGAGAGAGGUUAGUGGCGGACUGGUGAGUAACACGUAAGCAACCUGCCUAUCAGAGGGGAAUAACAGUGAGAAAUCAUUGCUAAUACCGCAUAUGCUAACAGUAUCGCAUGAUACAGUUAGGAAAGGAGCAAUCCGCUGAUAGAUGGGCUUGCGUCUGAUUAGUUAGUUGGUGGGGUAACGGCCUACCAAGACUACGAUCAGUAGCCGGACUGAGAGGUUGAACGGCCACAUUGGGACUGAGAUACGGCCCAGACUCCUACGGGAGGCAGCAGUCGGGAAUAUUGCGCAAUGGAGGAAACUCUGACGCAGUGACGCCGCGUAUAGGAAGAAGGUUUUCGGAUUGUAAACUAUUGUCGUUAGGGAAGAUAAAAGACUGUACCUAAGGAGGAAGCCCCGGCUAACUAUGUGCCAGCAGCCGCGGUAAUACAUAGGGGGCAAGUGUUAUCCGGAAUUAUUGGGUGUAAAGGGUGCGUAGACGGAGAAACAAGUUGGUUGUGAAAUCCCUCGGCUCAACUGAGGAACUGCAACCAAAACUAUUUCCCUUGAGUGUCGGAGAGGAAAGUGGAAUUCCUAGUGUAGCGGUGAAAUGCGUAGAUAUUAGGAGGAACACCAGUGGCGAAGGCGACUUUCUGGACGAUAACUGACGUUGAGGCACGAAAGUGUGGGGAGCAAACAGGAUUAGAUACCCUGGUAGUCCACACUGUAAACGAUGGAUACUAGGUGUAGGGUGUAUUAAGCACUCUGUGCCGCCGCUAACGCAAUGAGUAUCCCACCUGGGGAGUACGACCGCAAGGU
RNAcentral lists this ribosomal RNA (885 nucleotides) under uncultured Bacillota bacterium. Its description in RNAcentral is "bacterial SSU rRNA". It matches the Rfam family "Bacterial small subunit ribosomal RNA", at positions 1 to 894 of the family's 1533-position model. The record is from RNAcentral. Lineage: Bacteria; Bacillati; Bacillota.